UACGGGGGGGGCAAGCGUUGUUCGGAAUUACUGGGCGUAAAGGGUUCGUAGGUGGCUUGUUAAGUCAGACGUGAAAUCCCUCGGCUCAACCGGGGAACUGCGUCUGAGACUGAUGAGCUCGAGUGCAGGAGAGGAACGCGGAAUUCCGGGUGUAGCGGUGAAAUGCGUAGAUAUCCGGAGGAACACCGGUGGCGAAGGCGGCUUCCUGGACCGACACUGACGCUGAGGCGCGAAAGCUAGGGGAGCAAACGGG
RNAcentral lists this ribosomal RNA (253 nucleotides) under uncultured bacterium. RNAcentral's name for it is "partial 16S ribosomal RNA". It matches the Rfam family "Bacterial small subunit ribosomal RNA", at positions 524 to 776 of the family's 1533-position model. The record is from RNAcentral.